GGCGCAACGUCCUGUAAGAACAGUGUGGGUGAACCCAACACUUAAAAGGCUCGGAUGAGGCUGCCUAGAAGUCAUGUGCAAGCUGAGAACUCAAGGACAAGUAGGAGGUGCUUCAGGUGAGAGGUAAAGGGAACAGGAGGUGGUACAGGCCAAGGGAACAGUGAGCACACAGACCCCCAAGAUGAAGAGCAUCAAAACCCGUAAUAAUGGCACGGAGACCACCUUUAACUUGCCGAGGUGUACGCAGGAGUAAUCUCCGCGGCCGGCACCGUUCUGUGACUCAGCAUCCGACAGAGCAAAGAAUACAACAGUAUUAGAGGAACGAGUCUCACCUCUGCCUCUCGGGCUCUCCAUCUACAUCUUCAUCAGCACUGCAGGUAGCACUGGAAUCAUUGUCCGACUGGGGCUCGGGCCUCUGGGCCCCUAUUUGCUGGGCCCCCACCAAGUCUUCAUCGCCAGGCUCUGUCUUCUCGCCAGCUCUCUCCAGGUCUCUCUCUUUGGUAUCACCUUCGACUUUAGACAGAUUGUUCUCGGGCACCCUCAUGUCAACAUCUACAGAGUCUGUUCUGGUAGUCGCGGGGAGGUCAAGAACAGAAGUCACUUCAGCACUGGGCUCCUGCCGGUCAACGUCCAUCGGCUCUGCUGCCUCUACGGUGAUGCUGUCAUUCGCCUGGGUCUCCGCGCUUUCAUUUUCGACGGGUUUCGAACUUGGCACUGCCGAGGAGGGAGACGCACCGGGCGCAGGUUCGGAGGUGGACCCGAGCUCGGCCACAGGUUCCGUGUUCCCUCGAGAAGACGCAUUUUCAGUGCUAUCUUCGCCGGGCUUGACAGCUUCAACUGGUGAAGGAGAAGGAGCACUUUCUGUAUCAGAACUAUUUUCAGCACCUUAAAGAUAAUGAUACAGCAUAAAAAUCUGAUAAUGGACAUGUUUCAGGGGUGGCAGAAGCCAUGCUUCAAAGUAGGUUUAGAAGGAAUGACACUCGUCGCAUGACCUCACCGAAGUACGCCAGCCACUGGGAAGCUAAAGUGUCUACAGAGCAUGAAAGGGAGAGAUCAAACUGUUUUCACCUUCUGAAACUGAAAGCGUAAAAGCCUUUAGUAUCGAAAAAUCAUUUACAUGAAAUUUGAAAAAUGAAGAAAGAUGGAAAAACAAAACUAAACAAAAAAACCCGUACGCAGAAAUGGUCCAUUUCAGUUUAUUUCUACCAGCCCAUUUCUGUGCUUUUCUUUAUACCCAGGAGGGCUGACAGUCCGUUCUAGAACAGCACCAUCCAAUAGGAACAUCAUGUACAAAACACCCAACGUGCAGGGUGCACUGGGGACAGAGAAGUGAAAAGACCAAACUGCACUCUAGAGGACCUGACAGUCGAGUGUCAAACGGACAACGAACAAUUAAGUACAUGAUGCAUCUGGAGGUCAUAAGCACAGAUACCCACUGCCAGAUCGCAGUUUGGUCAUUUGGAAAACAUGGAUUUACACAGAUUUUUCAAAUCUGGAUACGUUUCACUGUAUAUGAAAACAUCACAUGGUUCUUAUUACCACUGAUCUCAUCAGAAAAGUCUUUUGAGUACUGGGAAGACGACAGGCUCACGUGUUUUCAAGAAAAUGUCGACUAUGGAUCCAAGUCUGAAAAACCACAGUCUGUCAUUUUUUCAACUGGAACUGACAUUCCAUAAAAAAAGGGGAGCUAGUCCAGCCUGGGACUCGAACAGACGCAAAGUGCUUUCCCAGGGCAGAAGCGGGACACUUUGGGGUGGAACAGAAGGACUUCACACGACACUUCUCACUUCAUCCCACACACACAUACUCAAGGGUCAAGACUUAGUCAAGCGCAUUUUGACUGCUUCACUAAGGACAAGUGACACCGGCACAUUUGUUUUGAAACUGCUAAUAACGCUGGAGAUGAAGAGAACAGUGAGUAUUUAGCACAGCGGUGUCCUGCGGUGAUUCGUGCGAAGGCACGGACGUUCUCCCUCCCAACAACUCUGACAUCGUCUGUGCAAAUUUAACACGGUGGGGAAGAGUAAGUACCAUAUUAAUAUUUUUACAAAAGCAGUUCUGACCUCAUGGCAUCCUCAAAGAGCUCUGUGGACUUUGAGAACGUUGCAACUUCCUAGUUAAGGGAUUUUCCAUAAUUUACACUCUCUGGUUUUUAGUAUUUAUCUGAGAUUCUUUCUCUCUGAGAAAAUGGUUUUAAUAUGCCAAAUCAAUUCUUUCAACAAGGUCAAAAGAACGCCAACUAAACUUUUCAAUUCAAACUCCAAAAUGUUUCUGUUUUCCAAAUCCCAUUAUGGUCAUUCAAAAGUACUGAACUGCCAUUACUCCUAACACGAAUUUCACUCCUUGGACAGUAAACAGAGAAAAAGUCAACUUGUGGUGAGAAACUAGCAUAUCCUUUUACAGGUAAAUGCGAUAAAUAAAAAUACAAGAUGCAAAAAAGUUUCUCUCUCAACCAGUAUUUCAAGCUCGAAGACAAAGCAGAAACAAAACAAAAACAAAAUUAAAAAAGAUUCUGAUAUACUCACUUUCUGCUUAUGCUGCUGCAGAAGGUUGUCCAGGUUGUGUCGCCUUUUGUAGUUGAAAUAGAAGUUUUUACAUUGUGCUUCACUUUUAGUUCCCACCAUUUUGGCAAUUGCUGCCCAG
Molecule: long non-coding RNA, 2643 nt
Organism: Lynx canadensis (Canada lynx)
Lineage: Eukaryota; Metazoa; Chordata; Mammalia; Carnivora; Felidae
Exons: 5
Source: RefSeq, a predicted model, not a curated record